CUAUCUCCGUCUCUCUCCCUGUUUCUCCAUUUUUCUUUCUUUCCUUCUCUCUCCUUCCUUCCUUCCAUCUUUCUUCUUUCCCUUCCUUUUAUUCUUCUAUUUUCGUUUCUUUUCAAGGUUUUUUUUAAAGCCAUGAUGCAAUUUCUUUGGUAUUCACCGUUGUCCCAAAACUUGAAGCAAGCCUCAAGAUAGGAGAAAGCACCGCGGAUCUCCCUCUCACCCCAGGCUCGGGGCGCAGAAGAUGGAGAGAAGAUUCCACUCUCCCCGGAGCAGAUAGGGACGGUCGCGCCAGCCAAUCAGAGCGCGGCUCGGCGCCGGCGC
This 321-nucleotide long non-coding RNA is filed under the name Homo sapiens (human). RNAcentral's name for it is "HSALNT0374605". Lineage: Eukaryota; Metazoa; Chordata; Mammalia; Primates; Hominidae. The record is from RNAcentral.